UGAUGAUAUAUGGCAGCCAUCUACUGUUGCUAGGAAACGGAAAUGCACAACACUAACCGGAAAAAAUAAAAUCGACCUCAGCUGGUUAGCUUAACAAUUUCAUAAUAAAGUAUUAUAAUCACAUUCAAAAGCUGCAAAAAAAAUGUCAAAGGGACUCGUAUGCUUUGAUAUCUCAAAAAAUGAACGUUUCCAAUUAGCCGAUAAUUACAAAAUGUUGCAUCGCAAAGUAAAAAUAAAUUGGAAAGUUGAACAGAGUGAUGGCGAGUUGAAGAAAGAAAGAUUACAACGCGUAAACAUAUUUGUGUUGGCCGGUCCUCAGGAUCGUUUCACCGAAGAAGAAUUUCAAGUGUUGAAGGAAUUUGUAGAUAAGGGUGGUAGACUAUUGGUGAUGCUUGGUGAAGGAGGUGAACAAGAAUUCAAUACAAACGUGAAUUUCUUUUUAGAACAAUACGGCAUAUACAUAAAUAACGACACUGUAGUACGCUCCCACUACUAUAAAAAUUUUCAUCCCAAGGAGUGCAUUAUUGGUGGAGGUGUAGUGUGUGAAUCAAUGUGGCGUCAUUUGAUUAAACAGGAUAUUGAGAAAGUCGAUUAUGAUUUUAGCGAUGAAAAAUAUAAAAUACACUUUCAAUAUCCAUACGGUGCAACUUUAAAUGUUUCGGAGCCAGCAAAUGUUCUACUUAGUACAGGACCUGUCGUUUAUCCAUUUAAUCGACCUCUGGCGGGUUACUAUACUAACGAACGUGGCGGCAAGAUACUUGCUAUUGGCUCUGGCUACAUGUGGCAUGAUAAAUAUUUGCAAAACGAUAAAACAAACGAUGCCUUAUUGGAGUAUUUUAUGCAACUGUUGGGCGGCAAUGAAAUACAGUACUCGCAUUUGGAUUUUAAUGAUGUUGAGAUCAAUGAUAAUAAAACAUUCACUGAUAUCGCCUUUAUUGCUGAUAUGCCAAAAGCUUGUCUUGUAGACUCGAUUGGUGGCACCGAAACUCCUGCAGAUUUCAAACUAAUGUUUGACAUGACUAUUUAUUCGCUGAGUAAUCGCCUGUUGAAAGAUGUUAUGGACGCAUACGAGCAGUUAAAUGUCAAAUAUGAACAACUGAAAAUAAUCAAGCCACAAUUUGAAAUACCUUUGCCCCCGUUACAACUAGCAACAUUCCCACCCAUCUUCAGCGAACCUGCCGCACCACCACUUGAACUUUACGAUUUGGAUGAGGUAUUCAGUGCAGCGCGUACGCAACUCGCUAAUAUGACCAGCAAAUGUGUACAAUCUAUUUAUGCAAAGGAUGCACGUAAGCCGUUAAAUGCACGUGAACUGGAGAAUUAUAUUAAAGAAUGCGCGCGAAUUACGGGUAUCAUACAUGAGCAUCAAGAUGUACAACCGCGUGAGAUACUCAACAUACUUGCUAAUCAGAUUAUCAGCUAUAAACCAUAUGCGGAUGAAUAGCGGAUUUGAAGUUCCUUCUAAUGUAGAGAAGGAUUGAUAUUUGAAAUACAUGGAGAAAUAAAGGAAACCACGGUUUUAGAAAUAAAUAUAGAAAAGAAGAACGAAAAUAAUCUUAAUAAGCAGAUUCAUAGCUGCUGGCCAAGGCGAAUUCAUAAAGGUG
This is an RNA transcript of Ceratitis capitata (Mediterranean fruit fly), 1604 nucleotides long. It is a transcript of the gene named intraflagellar transport protein 52 homolog, with no coding region annotated. The transcript has 7 exons. The record is from RefSeq and is a predicted model, not a curated record. NCBI's taxonomy places the organism in Eukaryota, Metazoa, Arthropoda, Insecta, Diptera, Tephritidae.